GUCUCGGAUCGCUCAGAACCAAGUGCGCAUGUGCAACUGUUAGCAACCCCCUGCUCCUACUGCAGUAAAUACGCAAACACAUGCCAACCCAGAUGGAAAAGUGGUUUGAGGCAGGGCGUGCCUUAAUUAGCUGCCUGAGGGACCAGAGGUUCGGGUAUGACUCAUGGGAGUCCUUAGCUUCGAGCCACCCAGAGGAUGUCCUGAAUUACCCAAGUUGCCAUCUGGAAAUGUCGCUGUGGAAUGUUACAGACAUCAGCUGCCAGAGCUCAGUUCAGGCCCCUCUUCCUAGAAGAUUAUUAACCCUUGGGUGCUUGGUUCUAGACUAAUCAUUCUUUAAUAGAAAUAAAUAAAUAAGAUUAUUUAAUUACUUUUAUUUUA
Rattus norvegicus (Norway rat) is the source of this 378-nucleotide non-coding RNA. The record is from RefSeq and is a predicted model, not a curated record. NCBI's taxonomy places the organism in Eukaryota, Metazoa, Chordata, Mammalia, Rodentia, Muridae.